CUUUACUGUAGCCUGGUAUUGGGUUCGGGCUUUGACUGCGCAGGAUAGGUGGGAGACUGAGAAGUGUGCCUUGUGGGGCACAUAGAGUCAACGGUGAGAUACCACUCUGUCAGAGCUAGAAUUCUAACCUUACACCGUAAGCCGGUGAAGGAACAAUCUCAGGCGGGCAGUUUGACUGGGCGGCCGCCUCCUAAAAGGUAACGGAGGCGCGCAAAGGUUCUCUCAGGCUGGUUGGAAAUCAGCCGUAGAGUGUAAAAGCACAAGAGAGCUUGACUGUGAGACUAACACGUCGAACAGGGACGAAAGUCGGCUUUAGUGAUCCGACGGCGCUGCGUGGAAAGGCCGUCGCUAAACGGAUAAAAGUUA
This 366-nucleotide ribosomal RNA is filed under the name uncultured organism. RNAcentral describes it as "bacterial LSU rRNA". It matches the Rfam family "Bacterial large subunit ribosomal RNA", at positions 2099 to 2465 of the family's 2925-position model. The record is from RNAcentral.